AAUCCUCAACCCUUUUUGGCGUCGUCUCUAAGGGCUUGGACUUUGGAGGUCAUUGCCGGUCCUUUGUGGGAUCGGCUCCUCUUGAAUGCAUUUAGUGGAGCUUUGUUCCUGCCUGCCCUUCGGUGUGAUAAUUCAUCUGCAUCGAUCGAGUAAGGGACGUUCUCCGCUUCGAACGACGAAAC
RNAcentral lists this unclassified non-coding RNA (182 nucleotides) under uncultured Leucogaster. RNAcentral describes it as "sequence contains ITS2". Lineage: Eukaryota; Fungi; Basidiomycota; Agaricomycetes; Boletales; Leucogastraceae. The record is from RNAcentral.